ACGAACGCUGGCGGCGUGCUUCACACCUGCCAGUCGCACGGAAAGGCCUGCUUUUGUGGGGUGCUCGAGUGGCGAACGGGUGAGUAACACGUGAGUAACCUGCCCUUGACUUUGGGAUAACUUCAGGAAACUGGGGCUAAUACCGGAUAGGAGCUCCUGCUGCAUGGUGGGGGUUGGAAAGUUUCGGCGGUUGGGGAUGGACUCGCGGCUUAUCAGCUUGUUGGUGGGGUAGUGGCUUACCAAGGCUUUGACGGGUAGCCGGCCUGAGAGGGUGACCGGCCACAUUGGGACUGAGAUACGGCCCAGACUCCUACGGGAGGCAGCAGUGGGGAAUAUUGCACAAUGGGCGGAAGCCUGAUGCAGCAACGCCGCGUGCGGGAUGACGGCCUUCGGGUUGUAAACCGCUUUCGCCUGUGACGAAGCGUGAGUGACGGUAAUGGGUAAAGAAGCACCGGCUAACUACGUG
This 466-nucleotide ribosomal RNA is filed under the name uncultured bacterium. Its description in RNAcentral is "partial 16S ribosomal RNA". It matches the Rfam family "Bacterial small subunit ribosomal RNA", at positions 29 to 507 of the family's 1533-position model. The record is from RNAcentral.